This 9827-nucleotide long non-coding RNA is filed under the name Citrus x clementina. RNAcentral describes it as "Citrus clementina (C. clementina) long non-coding RNA (CCLE_LNC002458)". The record is from RNAcentral. Lineage: Eukaryota; Viridiplantae; Streptophyta; Magnoliopsida; Sapindales; Rutaceae.
AAUGUUACAUUUCAAAAAUGUAAAAUAUUCAUUAAUAUAAUAUAUAUAAUAUAGAGCAUAGGAGGCUAGAUGAAACUUUACAGGCUGACCGUAACUUACAUUGAACGUAAGUUAGGCGGACCCUAUUUAAUAUACAACCAAAUCAUACAACCUAAUACUUUCGUAAACAAUUGAUGUAUCGAAGAUGAAUAUGUAGUCCAAUGAAAGCAACCUUAAGUAAUGUGUAAUAGUAAUAACGUUAUUUCAAAUUAAACUUAAACAACUUAUAUCAAUAAAGGGAACAGCCCUGACUGGCCAUACGGAAUGGGGAACCAUUGAGUCUGUCCAUCAUGAAAUGUUAAUGUAUUCGAUAAUUGUUUCAAUUAUCGGAAAUGUAAAGAGUUAGAUUGUGAGAAGUUAAUAAGAACCACGAAAUGGAUUAUGAGGCAAGUUUAUAAUUAAAUAAUGUAUUCGUUAAGUGUACAAAUUCAUGAAUAAUUUAUUGUACUAAAUAUGUCAACGUUAAAAUAUCCGGGAAUAUUUUAGUUUAACCAAAAAAUUAUUAAUAACAGGAUUACAAUUAUUGUGAUAUUGUAAUGGUGGAUAUGAUCAAAGAUGGUAAAAGAUUAUUGUUAAUACUACAAUAAUGUAAUAAUCCAAUUUCACUAAGAUGUUAAUAACUUUGUAAAAUCAUCAAUCAUAAUAAGCAAUACGGUAAACUGUCGUUGGUUAAAGAUUUAAAAAUUGAUUGUAAUAAUGAUAGUAAUUCUCCGGUUAAUAUAUAAAGUGAAAACAUUACUAAUUAUUGUAAUAGUUAAGUAUUCCAAAUAACUAUUGUAACUCCACACAAUGCGUACUAUGAGUUAUUUGUACCAGUAAUAAAAGACGGUUGAACAAUUUAUUUGGGCAAGUAUGUAAAUCUUUCCACCUAUUGAAUGAUGAAGACAUGCGGGACAUUUAAAUGUAAGUAUUGAAUUAGGAAAAUAUUAAGGUCCAAAUAAAGUAAGCUUUAAGAGUUGCGAGGUUAAAAAAGGAAUGGUAAACAAAAUAAAACCAUUCGAAGACAAUGCAAAACGGUAAAAUAAAUAGUAAUUUAUUUGCUUAUGACCACAACAUGAUAAAUAGUUCGUACAAUACCAAGAUUAAAUGAGAAAUCCAAUGUUAAUUAAGUAAAACGUUAUGUUUGAAACUUCAACGUUCACGAUCACAAUAUACAAAACCGUUUAAAUAUUUGGAAUAUAAUAACCUACAAGUGCAUAACUAUAAUAUUUAAUAAGUUAGAUUUGGAAUCUUUAAAAAAAGCUAGGAUCUGAAUAACGAUAUUUGAAAGCACACCACAAUUAAGAAGUACAUGCAGUGUAUUUUUGUAGGUCAGUAGGGGAAAAAAUUCGCACUUGCCGACAUAAACACAAUACGCUAAUGUGCCCGAAUUUUAUGAGGAAUAAAAUUUUCAUAGGUGUAACGUACAGAUUAUAAUAACAUAAGAUUUGCCUUGUAACGGUGGUGACACAUAUAAUUACAUUAAUGAUUGUGAGGGCAGUGGUAUUUAAAAAUACAACAGACUGUCAAAAUGGCCUGCCACAAAUUGAAGUGUAGUUAGCAACGAACAUCUAACGACAAUUACGGAAUGGGAUAAGCCAAGCUGGCUGGAAAAAGAGUUAGAAUCAUAAAAAAACGUGAUACUUCAUCAUCUUCAAAGGUGAAAGGGCGGGAAAAUAGUAAUAAGAUGGCGUGUACAGCAAAAAUGGCAAAUUCAACGAAGCUUCGUAGAACACCCUGUAGCCUGGGGGAGAGGCCCAAGAAGCAACACUGCAGAUUGUAUGACCUCAUUCACAACAAUAGUGUUGACAAAGAAAAGCAAUCCUCUGCGAAAUUUUGAACACAAAAACAGGAAAAUGAAAAAUUCAAAUGAAGAACAGGAAGAUAGAGAUGAUUUGGAAUAUCCUGUAACAACUCAAGCCGACAUUGAUGGAUGGUGGAAUGUGUCCUCAAACGACGAAGGGGAAGCCCACAACGAUGAAUCUGGAAGCAUUGAACUACAAGCGGACAUCAACAGUGAGAUGGGAACCAACCAGAAGCAAACUGAUCGGCAAUAAUGCUGUUAGAGUGCAAUUUAUGCACUAGUUUUGCAUUGUUUACUUCCCUUAAUAUCGAUGUUUUGCACUUAAUAAUAAUGUUUUACUUGUGUUUUACUUUUGUAGGUGCAAUUCUAUUGAUUGGUGAUAAAAUUGAGCUAAAAGAUGAUGUUUAAGGAGGAUUGUUCUCUUGGAGAAAUUAUGAGCGUCAGAAGAACUUUGUUGAUAAGGCGUGGACGCGUGCUGUCAACUGCGGACCUGCAGUUUUUAGUUUAACGUGUUUUGUAUUUUUGGUUAUUUUUGUAAUUACGAAUUUAAUAUUUCAGAUAUUAUUAUUUUAUUUUAAAUAGAAUUCUAAAAGAGAAGAGAGAGAGAGUAUUUAAGGGAGGAAUCUAUUGUGAAAAAAGGGGGGAAUUUUGGAUUAGAGAAAAAGAAAGAAACCCUAGAUUUAAUUUUUCUCUCCUCUCUAUGAAGAACUAAACCUAUUUUUCUGGUUGAAGGAUAAUGAAGCUUUGAUUCAUCACUACUGUGAGAUCUUUCUUGUGCUUUAAUUGUUUUAUUGCUUUUUGGGUAUUUGUUUAUUCUCUGAAUUAUUUUCAUGAUUAUGUUUGUUAAUUAGGUAAUUGGCCACUAUUUAAUUAUCAACUUAAUCUAUUGUCAAUUAAAGGAUUCAUCGUAUGAAGAAUUUAAUGUUUGUGACAAAUAACAUAGCAGAGAGUUGUGUUGUGAGAAUAAACAAUCUAAUUUAAAUGAAUCAUCAUAUGUGUUGAUUAGGAUUUGGGUCUCUCUGGUUUUUCAGGCUGUCAAUUGAUUAAAUCCUAUGAUCGUAUCUAGGGUUGUCCAUUGAUUAGGGAAAUAACCAACGGUCGUACCUUGGUUAUCGACUAGUUAAGGAGAGAUUGGCUAUUAGAGGGUCUCAAUAGCUAUAACCGGUCUAUUCAUAAGUAAUAAUAAUCUAUAUUUGAAUCAAUGAUCAGUAGUCGAAUCAAGCUGAGUUAAUUCCUUUAACAAGAGCUUUCUCCAAUUUGAAUUACAACUUUAAUUUGCAUUCUUGUUAUUUCAAUUUGAUUUUUAUUAUUGUCAACAAUUCCCCCAUUUUACGUUUUACGUUUCAAAAGGAUUUAAAUAAUUACCGAUCUCUGUGGACACGACCCUGCUCAAUCACUAUACACAAUUUAUUUAGAGUAGGAAUUUAUUUUUGUUGGCUUCGACACCCAUCAAAUUUUGGCGCCGUUGCCGGGGAUUGGUGUCAUUUAUUUAAUCCUUUUUACGUUUUACUUGGUGUAUGGUUCGUUCUUCUCGUACAGGUACACUUUCGUUUGAUCCUGAAAUUGAGAAGACAGCUCGCCAGCUGAGACAGCAGACGAAGCGAGCUAAACAACGAUCAUCGUCGCCUUUGCUUUCUGAAAUAGAUACAGUACCUGAUUUAGUUGAAUCAUCUAGCGAUUCAGAAGAACAAGUGAUGGAUAGACCUGCACCUGUAGAAAGAACUCUUAGAGAGUUAGCUGAACCAGACUUGAAUCAACAACCACUCUGCAUUAAAUAUGUAGAUUUGGAGGUAAAUUUUGAAUUAAAGUCUGGUCUUAUUCAUUUAUUACCCAAGUUUCAUGGUUUUGCAGGUGAAGAUCCUUAUAAACAUCUUAAGGAGUUUCAUGUUGUGUGCUCAAGUAUGAGGCCACAAGGCGUGACUGAAGAGCAUAUUAAGCUGCGUGCUUUUCCGUUCUCUGUAGAUGGGCUAGCUAAAGAUUGGUUAUACUACUUGCCUCCUGGAUCGAUUACAACGUGGAAUGGUUUGAAGAAGCAGUUCCUUGAGAAGUACUUUCCUGCUUCAAGAGCUGCCAACAUCAGAAAAGAUAUUUGUGGGAUCAGACAACUUCCUGGGGAGACUUUGUAUGAGUAUUGGGAGCGAUUCAAACAAUUGUGUGCCAGCUGUCCUCAGCAUCCAAGGUGUUAGAAUGUGGUUUAUUUUGGCCUACUUUAUUUCGUGAUUCAUAUAUGUUUUGUAAGUCGUGUGAGAGUUGUCAAAAGACUAGUAAUUUAAGUCAUAGAAAUCAAAUGCCACUUACCCCUAUUCUUGUAUGUGAAAUAUUCGAUGUGUGGGGCAUUGAUUUUAUGGGACCUUUUCCCUCAUCUUUUGGCAAUUCUUACAUUCUUUUAGCAGUGGAUUACGUUUCUAAGUGGGUAGAGGCUAAGGCCACCCGGACUGACAAUGCUAAAGUUGUUGUAGAUUUUGUCAAGUCUAAUAUUUUUGCCAGAUUUGGUGUACCGAGAGCGAUGAUAAGUGAUAGAGGCACUCAUUUCUGUAAUCGAGUGGUGGAAGCUCUGUUCAAAAGAUAUCAUGUUACCCACCGAGUGUCUACCGCCUAUCAUCCACAGACAAGUGGACAAGCUGAGAUAUCAAACAGAGAAAUCAAGUCUAUUCUUGAAAAGACAGUUAGUCCAAAUCGAAAGGAUUGGAGUUUGCGAUUAGAUGAUGCAUUAUGGGCGUAUCGCACCGCUUACAAAACUCCCAUAGGUAUGUCUCCUUAUCGUUUAGUAUUUGGUAAGCCUUGUCAUUUACCUGUAGAACUUGAGCACAGAGCAUACUGGGCGGUUAAGCAAUGCAAUAUGCGGAUGGAUGAAGCAGGAAAGCAGAGGAAGUUGCAGCUGCAAGAGUUGGAGGAGAUUAGAAAUGAAUCCUACGAGAGUUCGCGAUUUUACAAGGAAAAGACGAAGACAUUUCAUGACAGAAUGAUUUUGAGAAAGGAGUUCUCUGUUGGUCAAAAAGUUCUUCUCUUUCACUCUAAACUUAAACUUUUUCCUGGUAAAUUACGUUCUCGUUGGGUAGGACCUUUUAUUGUUACUAAUGUUUUUCCUCAUGGUGCAGUUGAGAUUCGGAGUCCAAUCUCUAAUAAAGCCUUUAAGGUUAAUGGUCAUCGUUUAAAACCUUUUUACGAAGGUUUUUCGGUGAAUAUUGUGGAGGAAUUGGCUCUCGAGAAUCCUAUUUAUGGAGAUUGAUACAUACAUGUGUCUAGCCAAAGACAUAAAACAAAGGCGCUUUUUGGGAGGCAACCUAAAUGAUUUGAUUAUUUUGGUUUUUGUUUUAUCUUCUUUAAAAAAAAAUGAAAAAUGAAAAAAAACGAGUUUGCUUAUUUUGGUCAGAAGAAAAUUUUUGAUAAGGCGUGCCCACGUCUUAGCUAAUAAGUACUUCUGUAAUUUUUAAUGUCUCAAAGUUUUAAGGCGUGCCCACGUACUUAUUAGAAAAGUACUUCUGAAAUUUAAUGUGUUUGCUUAUUUUGGUCAGAAGAAAUUUUUUUUUUAAGGCUUGCCCACGUACUUAUUGCCCACGUACUUAUUAGAAAAGUACUUCUGAAAUUUAAUGUGUUUGCUUAUUUUGGUCAGAAGAAAAUUUUUGAUAAGGCGUGCCCACGUACUUAUUAGAAAAGUACUUCUGAAAUUUUUAGUGUCUCAAAGUGAUUCAUCACAAAAAAAAAAAAAACCAAAAAUCGAAAAUCACUGUUCACAAAUCCCUAAUUCAAAAAUUACUGUUGAUUAUCGUUUUACAGCAGCAUCAGCCCCAGCCGCAACCAGCAGCAUCAGCUCCAGCCUUCACCGCGCAACCAGCAGCAGCAGACGAGUACGCCCAGAACCAGAAGCAAGCCCCAACUCGCGCAACAAACUCCAGCCGAGCAGCAAGCACAACACAACCAGCCUACGCCCUGUAUUCCAGCCGGGUAAAUCGAAAUCCGUGAGUGCAAUUAUUGUAACAAUGCCGAAGAGGAAAGCAUCUACUUCCAAGUCGUCGAAAAAGACACCCGUCGCAAAGAAAUCUAAGAUUGCCGCUCCCACUACGGUUCCAUGGAACAUAAUUUCAGAUUCACGCCAAGCCGUGAGACAAAGAUCGAAGCAUGGAAAAGGCAUGAGUGUUUUGCCAAUUGCGGAAUCCAAUCUCGGAGGGUGCCUCGCAUUCGCGACUCAACAAUAGAAAGAGAGGUACAAAGAUAUUUCCACGCGCAAAAUACUUCCAGCUAAGUAUAUUCAUUACCCGACUCUUGAAAAAUUAAAUGUUAAAGAUAAUUUUGAUUCUUUGAUAGAUAAGAUUGGGUUGCGUAAGUUUGUUGAUUUUGAUUGCUUGGGUUAUGUUGAGUUGAUUAGGGAGUUUUAUGCUACUUUUCAAUUCACUAUGCCGAAUGAUUUUACUUUGCAUACCCCGGAUGUCAUUAAGUUUAGGUUAAUGGGACGAAAUUUUUCACACUCUAUCACGGAUUUUAACCUAGCUUUAGGAUUCAUUGAUGAUGAUUAUUCUACUAGUGAUGAAUAUUUAGGAACAACUUGUGACUUUAGCAAAAAUUUUGAGCCUUAUGGUCUUUGGUGUAAUUUAUCUGUUGAUCACAAUGCCUAUGACCCGAGUAAAUCAAAGAGUUCUUUCUUACGUGAUCCUGUUUUGAAAUUUGUGCAUCGAUUCUUAGCAUAUAAUUUUUUAGGCAAGAAAGAUCACUCAGGAAUUUUCUCUAAAACUGAAUUUUAUUUUAUCUGGUGCAUGUUAAAUGAUGUGAGGCCUAAUUUAGGUUUUUGGUUAGCGGAUCAAUUUCAAAGUGUGCUUAAACGGUAUAGGACUUUAUUUCUUGGUCCAUACAUUACUCUGUUAGCUAUAAACCUAUGUGUGCUUGAUCCUGACAAUAAUGAUUUGCAUCCUGCUUGCAAAAAGUAAUUUUUGGAUAUGUCUGUGUUUGAAAGAACAGGUGUGGUCGAAUUCAAGGAGGGGAGAUUUCAGUUUACUGAACCAGGACCCACUCAACUUCCGAAGAAGCUUUAUGCUAGGAGUGGUGCUACCUCUGAUGACGAGUUUGACGACGACACUGUUGCCCCGCCAACUAUUCCUUCUACAUCCGCACCACCUUUGAGCAUUCAGUUAGAGAAAAUGGAGCACAAGUUGAACAAAAUGGAGCAGAAUUUGGCCGCAUACUUCGAGAGUGUGGGAUUUACCCCACCAUUUCCGCCAAGCCCAUAGACGUUAUGUGGAUCAAAGCUCACAAUUCAGGGAAGUUUCUUUUUGCCCUUAAACUUUUAUCCUUACGCUUUAAUUUUUAUGUGAGCUUUGAUUAUCUUACAUUGGGGACAAUGUAAGUUCUUGGUGUGGGGGAGGGAUUUUUGCAUUAUUGAUGUCUGGAAGUAGUAUUUUCACUCUACUCAUUUAUUUUCACUCUACUCAUCCUUAAAUGAUUUUGGAGUUAGUAUGCUUUAUAUAUUAUUAUUUUAUCUUUUCUUUUCUUUCUCACUACUUUUUUUUUCCCCAUCUAUCUCAAAUUAUUUACAUCUAUUUUUUUUCCUAUCAUACUCUUUCAUCACUCACAUUUUAUCUUUCAUUUUUUUUUACUACAUACAUCUUUCUCGCUUAUUAUCAUUUUUACCUUUCCUUUUAUAUCUCAUUCAUACCUUCAUCUCAUUCUACACCACUAUUGAUGAUUGAUUCAUUUGAAGAGUGUACAUGAUUUGAUGGCAAAUUUACCAACUUUGUGAGGAUUUGAGCCUAUGAGCAACCACUUUGCUCUAAUUAUUUUUGUUAUGUGAAUAUCAAUCCUAGUUUGUUUAUUCUAGAACUUGCUUUAUUAUGCAUGUUGAAGCCACAUUACGGGAUUUUAUGCAUUAAAAUGAUAAGGGCAAACCAUUUACCAUUUUUCUAUUCUCGCAUUUUCCUUUUUCUUUACCAGAAGACCUUUAUUUGCUACCUUUGUUUGAGCCUUAACCAUUACCUAUCUAAUUCUCUCCGUCUACUUAACCAUUUUUCUUCUUUUUGAGCCUCAAUUUAAGGAGAUUUUUGGACUCAUUGUAUGGAUAUAUUUUGUUGCUUUUUCUACCUUGUAUUAAAGUUUCUCAAUUAGAUCAACAAGCAUUAUGCUUGAAUUCAAUUGUGCAAGGUUCGUUUCUUUUGUUUGAUUCGAAAAAAAAAACAAACAAAAAAAAAGAAAAAAAAAAGAAAAAAAAAGAAAAAAGAAAAGGAAAAAGAAAAAAAAAGAAAAAAAAAAGAAAAAAAAAGUGUUUACAUUCUUGGUGACUUGAGUAGAAAUAAGCAUUUUGAUAUCAUAAGUUCAUUCUUCUCGUUUUGAUCUCUUUUUCUUUCGUAAACCUUUCUUUUUCAUUUAACCCCAUUACAACCCUUUUAAGACCCUUAGAUUUUUGCAUUUUAUUCAUGUUUUGUGGAUUGAGAUGUGAUAUAUAAGCAAGCUUAUGGUAAUAGCAUUCUUUGAUUUGAUUUGAGUGCAUAGAUGAUACCCUAAACACUUUGAGUGCAUGGAGUGAAGUCAUUGAGAGGGCUAUUAAAUCUUGUUGCACUUGAAUUUUGAAUGGAUCUUCUUGGUGGUUAAAUGUUCUUAUUCUAUCUUAUGAGAUUCUAUGCUUUAAAAGUCCUUGUCUCUCGAAUGUUGAUCGACUUAAUUUCUUGAGGUAUGCUUGCUUAAAAUUAUUUUUGGAUGAGUUGAGAUGAGAAUUGAGUGGAGAUUUGGGAUUAAUCUUGAGUUAUAUGCUUGAGGACAAGCAUCAUCUUGGUGUGGGGGAAUUUGUUAGAGUGCAAUUUAUGCACUAGUUUUGCAUUGUUUACUUCCCUUAAUAUCGAUAUUUUGCACUUAAUAAUAAUGUUUUACUUGUGUUUUACUUUUGUAGGUGCAAUUCUAUUGAUUGGUGAUAAAAUUGAGCUAAAAGAUGAUGUUUAAGGAGGAUUGUUCUCUUGGAGAAAUUAUGAGCGUCAGAAGAACUUUGUUGAUAAGGCGUGGGCGCGUGCUGUCAACUGCGGACCUGCAGUUUUUAGUUUAACGUGUUUUGUAUUUUUGGUUAUUUUUGUAAUUAUGAAUUUAAUAUUUCAGAUAUUAGUAUUUUAUUUUAAAUAGAAUUCUAAAAGAGAAGAGAGAGAGAGUAUUUAAGGGAGGAAUCUAUUGUGAAAAAAGGGGGGAAUUUUGGGUUGGAGAAAAAGAAAGAAACCCUAGAUUUAAUUUUUCUCUCCUCUCUAUGAAGAACUAAACCUAUUUUUCUGGUUGAAGGAUAAUGAAGCUUUGAUUCAUCACUACUGUGAGAUCUUUCUUGUGCUUUAAUUGUUUUAUUGCUUUUUGGGUAUUUGUUUAUUCUCUGAAUUAUUUUCAUGAUUAUGUUUGUUAAUUAGGUAAUUGGCCACUAUUUAAUUAUCAACUUAAUCUAUUGUCAAUUAAAGGAUUCAUCGUAUGAAGAAUUUAAUGUUUGUGACAAAUAACAUAGCAGAGAGUUGUGUUGUGAGAAUAAACAAUCUAAUUUAAAUGAAUCAUCAUAUGUGUUGAUUAGGAUUUGAUCUCUCUGGUUUUUCAGGCUGUCAAUUGAUUAAAUCCUAUGAUCGUAUCUAGGGUUGUCCAUUGAUUAGGGAAAUAACCAACGGUCGUACCUUGGUUAUUGACUAGUUAAGGAGAGAUUGGCCAUUAGAGGGUCUCAAUAGCUAUAACCGGUCUAUUCAUAAGUAAUAAUAAUCUAUAUUUGAAUCAAUGAUCAGUAGUCGAAUCAAGCCGAGUUAAUUCCUUCAACCAGAGCUUUCUCCAAUUUGAAUUACAACUUUAAUUUGCAUUCUUGUUAUUUCAAUUUGAUUUUUAUUAUUGUCAACGAUUCCCCCAUUUUACGUUUUACGUUUCAAAAGGAUUUAAAUAAUUACCGAUCUCUGUGGACACGACCCUGCUCAAUCACUAUACACAAUUUAUUUAGAGUAGGAAUUUAUUUUUGUUGGCUUCGACACCCAUCAAAUGCACAGAGAGGGACGAAAAUGAUGUGCUUGCCAUGACA